GUUUCGGUGCGGGCUGCGAGAGCGGYACYAAAUCGAGACAAACUCAGAAUACCUAGAGAACACGUUGCCAGUAAGACGGUGAGGGAUAAGCUCCAUCGUCGAGAGGGAAACAGCCCAGACCACCAGCUAAGGUCCCAAAAUGGAUGCUAAGUGAUAAAGGAGGUGGGAUUGCAGAGACAACCAGGAGGUUUGCCUAGAAGCAGCCAUCCUUAAAAGAGUGCGUAAUAGCUCACUGGUCAAGCGAUCCUGCGCCGAAAAUGAACGGGGCUAAGCAUUCUACCGAAGCUGUGGACUUGUAAUACAAGUGGUAGGGGAGCGUUCUGCAGUAGUGAGAAGCAUUAGCGUAAGCAGAUGUGGACGAGGCAGAAGUGAGAAUGUCGGCUUGAGUAGCGAAAACAUGUGUGAGAAUCACAUGCCCCAAAAACCUAAGGAUUCCUCCGGAAGGCUCGUCCGCGGAGGGUUAGUCGGGACCUAAGGCGAAGCCGAAGGGCGUAGUCGAUGGACAUAGGGUUAAUAUUCCCUGACUAUAUAUCGGGAGCAUAUAGAGUGACGCAUGAUGGAUAGCCAUACCCUUAAUGGAUUGGGAGGGGGUUACGACCCCUGCAUGGUGAAGAGUAGUGCCAAGAAAAGCUUUAUAUGUGAUGAACGAUGUGUACCCGUACCCUAAACCGACACAGGUAGGUGAGUUGAGGAUACUAAGGGGCGCGAGAUAACUCUCUCUAAGGAACUCGGCAAAAUGGCCCCGUAACUC
RNAcentral lists this ribosomal RNA (751 nucleotides) under Halomicronema sp. UTEX B SP32. RNAcentral describes it as "bacterial LSU rRNA". It matches the Rfam family "Bacterial large subunit ribosomal RNA", at positions 913 to 1736 of the family's 2925-position model. The record is from RNAcentral. Lineage: Bacteria; Bacillati; Cyanobacteriota; Cyanophyceae; Nodosilineales; Nodosilineaceae.